This 535-nucleotide ribosomal RNA is filed under the name Helvella semiobruta. Its description in RNAcentral is "partial large subunit ribosomal RNA". It matches the Rfam family "Eukaryotic large subunit ribosomal RNA", at positions 119 to 665 of the family's 3401-position model. The record is from RNAcentral. Lineage: Eukaryota; Fungi; Ascomycota; Pezizomycetes; Pezizales; Helvellaceae.
AAUCUGGGGCCCUCGGCCUCCGAGUUGUAAUUUGGAGAGGCACCUUCUGGGGGGAGCGCCGGCCCAUGUUCCUUGGAACAGGACGUCACAGAGGGUGAGAAUCCCGUGCGAGGCAGGAUGCCUCCUCCCGUGUGAAGGACCUUCGACGAGUCGAGUUGUUUGGGAAUGCAGCUCCAAGUGGGUGGUAAAUUUCAUCUAAAGCUAAAUACCGGCGGGAGACCGAUAGCGCACAAGUAGAGUGAUCGAAAGAUGAAAAGCACUUUGAAAAUAGAGUCAAAAAGUACGUGAAAUUGUUGAAAGGGAAGCGCUUGAGACCAGACUCAGGCCCGGGCUAACAUCGAGCCCCUCGGGGCCGUGCAAUUGCCCGGGGCUGGGCCAGCAUCAGUUGGCGUGGCGGGACAAAGGCGCGGGCAAUGUGGCUCCCCUCGGGGAGUGUUAUUAGGCCCGCGCUCAAUGCCGCCGACGCCGACUGAGGACCGCGCCUCGGCUAGGAUGCUGGCUUAAUGGCCUUCAGCGACCCGUCUUGAAACACGGA